UUCUUUUUGAAGGAGAAGAAGAUCAUCUGAUUCCCUCCACUUCUCAUCUCCUUUUGGAGAGUGACUUCUUUGUUGUUGCUGGCCGAAUGAUUGGACAUUCAUUCCUCCAUGAUGGGCCAUGCCUAGGUGGACUGAGCCCAGCUGUCCUGCAUGUGCUCUUUGGUGGAUCCCCGGAAGAAGCCACAAUAGAUAUUAAGGACUGUGUUGACCUUGAUAUCCGUGAGACAAUCAAGUUGCUGGAGGGAACAGCAUAAUUAUCAUUAGAAGAAAAAAACCUCAUCAAUGAGUUGGCACUGUCCUGGGAUUUGCCUCUAGUCACAUGUGACAACAGGAGAUGGCUAUUUGAUAAACUGAUCCUCCAUGCUGUCCUUGGAAGAACCUCCAGACAAGUCAAGCAGUUACGAAGGGGUUUAAAAGAGACACUGAUCUGGCCUCUGCUAACGGAGAGGAAAGACACGAUUCCCCUUCUCUUUCCAAGAGCAUCUGAUUUGCAGUGCACAUCACGG
Gymnodraco acuticeps is the source of this 506-nucleotide long non-coding RNA. RefSeq lists it as uncharacterized. The transcript has 3 exons. NCBI's taxonomy places the organism in Eukaryota, Metazoa, Chordata, Actinopteri, Perciformes, Bathydraconidae. The record is from RefSeq and is a predicted model, not a curated record.